This is a long non-coding RNA of Carassius auratus (goldfish), 1320 nucleotides long. RefSeq lists it as uncharacterized. The transcript has 4 exons. The record is from RefSeq and is a predicted model, not a curated record. NCBI's taxonomy places the organism in Eukaryota, Metazoa, Chordata, Actinopteri, Cypriniformes, Cyprinidae.
CACCGCCUUUCCCACGCGCUCUCACCGCAAACUACACGUGCAGUUCCUGGCUGGAUUUAUUUGAGCUCUAAGCUCAGUAUUCCUCCUGGGAUCUCUUGGGUCUGAUUACUGGCUUCUGGCAUCUGAAUAUUGUGGAGAUGAUGCUCUUUUCAAACUAUAUAGAGUCACCAAGAGCGUUGAGCUCUAUCGGCCACCUUACAGUGAAAAGAGAGGAGGUGCUGGAAUACAGAUCUCAACACUCUUGGGUUCACUCUCCUUCGCUCAUUUUACACUCCAAUAUGAGCACAUCGUUACCAUACAUGACUGCAGCGAUAGAUGAAAGCUCAUUACGCAGCGUGGUGAGGAGAGGCAUGCAGAGGAAGUGGUUGGGGGAAGUGGGGCACAGGGGUGGCUAAUUGGGGUGUGUGAUUACACCGGCUGCUGUUAGCAGGAAUUAGACAACAACAGACCCGGCAGUAUGGCUCAUCAUCGCAGAAAAAGGAGAGAAAGGCGAUAUCGCUGAUAUAUUCCUAAUUAUACCAAACACCUUUCCUCUUGCAAUAUCACAUGCUGGAGCAUAACGGCAACGUAAUGCAAUCAUUGUCUACACGCACAUGCAAAAAGUAAAACUCAGGCAUUAGGAAUCACAACUUUUGAACUGCAAUGUGGUCAUAUUUACUGUUGCCCGGUAACAUUUUUUUGGUAAAAUCCAGUCAUUUCAAUGGGAAGUAAAGGAUUUUGACUUCUGAAGAAUUUCUUUAUUUGCCUAUGAGUUUUGACACAAAUUAUUUAAUGCUGACUAUUAUCAAGUCUUUGGUUCAGCAGCGACUCUCUGUGGGUCGAGAUCCUUAACAAAGCAAAACUAAAGAUCCACUACACUUCAGUAUUAUAAAAUUAAACAAUUUAAGUCUUAAAUUAUUAAGUCUUAAUCAUUUAAACUUAAUUAAAUAAAAGGUUGUUUGAAAAGCAGUUAUUUAUGUUUUGUUUGCUAGUCAGCCAAAAUAGCUUUAAAUUUUUUAUUCGUCAUUAUUUUAUUCAUCACAUCCAGUCCCACAUUCUUUCGCCUGUUAAAUUAUUAAUGAAUGAUUAUUCAGACUACUUUUAUGUGUCAAUUUUCUUACCAAACUAACUUUUAAGAACAUGUUUUUGAAUUCCGCAGAAAGCGCUGUGACUGGUUAGGGUCGAGAAAGUUGAUGAGAAAUAAUAACAACCCCUAAACCCACCCUAAAUAUGUGUCACGAUCAUUACAUGGAGCGCCCAUGAACUUUUGUAGAGGGCUUUCCAAUCAGGACAAUUCCACAUUAACCACCAGAUGUCACCCGGACUCUAGCACCUCUCAUC